RNAcentral lists this ribosomal RNA (492 nucleotides) under uncultured bacterium. RNAcentral's name for it is "partial 16S ribosomal RNA". It matches the Rfam family "Bacterial small subunit ribosomal RNA", at positions 29 to 507 of the family's 1533-position model. The record is from RNAcentral.
AGUGAACGCUGGCGGCAUGCCUUACACAUGCAAGUCGAACGGCAACACGGCAAGGGCUUCUGAUGAGUGGCGAACGGGGGAGUAAUGCAGAGGAACGCGCCCGGAGCUAGGGGUUCGCGCAGCGAAAGGUGUGCUAAUAUAGCAUGUUACCUCAGGCGGACAGCGGGGGAAAGCGCAGCAACGUUGGGCCUCGCGCCUUUGAAUCGGCCGAUGUCGGAUUAGGUAGUUGGUGGGGUAAAGGCCUACCAAGCCGACGAUCUGUAGCUGGUCUGAGAGGACGACCAGCCACACUGGGACUGAGGCACGGCCCAGACUCCUACGGGAGGCAGCAGUGGGGAAUUUUGGACAAUGGGCGCAAGCCUGAUCCAGCAAUGCCGCGUGCGGGAAGAAGGCCUUCGGGUUGUAAACCGCUUUUGUACGGAACGAAAAGGCUCUGGCUAAUACCUGGGGCUGAUGACGGUACCGUAAGAAUAAGCACCGGCUAACUACGUG